AUGUUAUGACCGGCUUGGCCUAUAGCCGGCGGAGGCCCACUGGGCGUUAAUAUUAGGGGCUUGGCCCGCAAGUUAUCUUAGGCAAAUUACUUUAGGAAAGUUAUCUUAGGCUCGAGUUAUAAAUACUAGUUGUAAGACAUCAAUUGAGAUCAAGCAAUAAAGAUAUUAUCUUCUGUUGCCCGGCUCCCCAAGGAGCCGGAACCCUAGCCUCCGCCGCGCCCAGCCCUAGCCGCGACGGCGCCCUCUCGCCGGCGCGUCCGCUCCAGCCCUCGCUCCCCUCCUCCUUGCCCAUACAAUCUACGCCGGAGGCCCGGUAGGAACC
Molecule: long non-coding RNA, 322 nt
Filed under: Hordeum vulgare
Lineage: Eukaryota; Viridiplantae; Streptophyta; Magnoliopsida; Poales; Poaceae
Description: long non-coding RNA (HVUL_LNC016304)
Source: RNAcentral